UCGAGAUUGGAGUAAAGUCGUAACAAGGUUUCCGUAGGUGAACCUGCGGAAGGAUCAUUAUCGAAUGUGAAUGUUGGAUCGACUGUUGCUGGCUCAGUUUUGACUACUGAAGCAUGUGCACGUCUACCAUUUUAUCUACACACCUGUGCACCUACUGUAGGUCCUUGAAAGAGGAUGCUAUGUAUUUUGAUAACCUUUACAUGUAUGGAAUGGGGAUAUAUAUUGGAUAUAUACAACUUUCAGCAACGGAUCUCUUGGCUCUCGCAUCGAUGAAGAACGCAGCGAAUUGCGAUAAGUAAUGUGAAUUGCAGAUUUUCAGUGAAUCAUCGAAUCUUUGAACGCACCUUGCGCUCCUUGGUAUUCCAAGGAGCAUGCCUGUUUGAGUGUCAUUAAAUCAUCAACCAUGUCUAUUAGACAUUGGCUUGGAGUUGGGAAUUGCUGGCUCGUUCAGCUGUCCUGAAAUGCAUGCUAAUUGGACGUGUACACGGCUUGCGACGUGAUAAUGAUCGUUGUGGCUGGAGCACCAAACCAAUGUAGGGAUUUUGACCUCAAAUCAGGUAGGACUACCCGCUGAACUUAAGCAUAUCAAUAAGCGGAGGA
This 600-nucleotide ribosomal RNA is filed under the name Retiboletus sinensis. RNAcentral describes it as "eukaryotic LSU rRNA". The stretch from base 235 to 389 matches the Rfam family "5.8S ribosomal RNA". Lineage: Eukaryota; Fungi; Basidiomycota; Agaricomycetes; Boletales; Boletaceae. The record is from RNAcentral.